This 517-nucleotide long non-coding RNA is filed under the name Spirodela polyrhiza (greater duckweed). Its description in RNAcentral is "long non-coding RNA (SPOL_LNC002514)". Lineage: Eukaryota; Viridiplantae; Streptophyta; Magnoliopsida; Alismatales; Araceae. The record is from RNAcentral.
AGGAAAACACGGAGGGGAGUAAGAAGCAGAGGUGGACCCGCGGCUCCAUGGCCCCUCGCCCUCUCGCACAAGGUGGACUCCCACUGGCGUCGUGAUCUUCUCUGGCGCACCCUUUUCUGCCGCCUUCUUCGUUCCUUUGUCUUCCCAUGAUUGGAGCGGCGAAAAGUUCUGGGUUCUGCUCCCCAUCCGGAGCAGAGAAGCCCUUGAACCACUGAGCUUGGAGGCAGCACAGGACCAGAGAAAGAAGGCGUCGGGGGGAGGAGGAUGGAGGCUUCGGAGCAGUAAAAGGGCAGUGCUCGUGGAUCUGUUCUCGUCAGCGGAGAGAUCUUGCUGCCCCCGCAAGGUCCUUUUCUAUCUCUUUGGGUCGCUUUAGUGGCCCGUCUUCUUUGGGAGAGUUCGGCCCUUGUGCACCGUCCACCGGGCCGCCUUCGCCUCCCUCUCUCCACCACCCUUUUGACCUGCCGGCGGCUUUCCUCCAGCGGCGCCGACUAAAUCGGCCGCCGAAAGAUAAACCCUG